RNAcentral lists this transfer RNA (75 nucleotides) under Mollicutes bacterium. Its description in RNAcentral is "tRNA-Trp". It matches the Rfam family "tRNA". Rfam says of the family: Transfer RNA (tRNA) molecules are approximately 80 nucleotides in length. Their secondary structure includes four short double-helical elements and three loops (D, anti-codon, and T loops). Lineage: Bacteria; Bacillati; Mycoplasmatota; Mollicutes. The record is from RNAcentral.
AACAACAUAGUUUAACUGGUAAAACAAUCGGCUCCAAACCGAUAAAUGUGGGUUCAAGUCCUACUGUUGUUGCCA